AUUGAACGCUGGCGGCAGGCCUAACACAUGCAAGUCGAGCGGAUGAAGGGGGCUUGCUUAUGGAUUCAGCGGCCGACGGGUGAGUAAUUCCUAGGAAUCUGACCGGUCGUGGGGGAUAACGUCCGGUAACGGGCGCUAAGCUCGCAUACGACCUGAGGUUGAAAGAGGAGGAUCUUGUGACCACACUCCAACAGCAUAGCCGAGGUUGGAUUCGCUAGUGGGUUGGGUAAUGGCCUACCAAGGCGACGACCAUGAACUGGUCUGAGAGGAUGAUCACUCACACUGGAACUGAGACACGGUCAAGACUCCUAGGGGAGGCGCCGGUGGGGAAUAUUGGACAAUGGGCGAAAGCCUGCUCCAGACCGGCCGCGUGUGUGAAGAAGGUCUUCGGAUUGUAAAGCACGUUAAGUUGGGAGGACGGUGAGUAAGUUAAUAACCUCCUGUUUUGACGUUAACAACAGAAUAAGCACCGGCUAACUACGUG
Molecule: ribosomal RNA, 484 nt
Filed under: uncultured bacterium
Lineage: Bacteria
Description: partial 16S ribosomal RNA
Rfam family: Bacterial small subunit ribosomal RNA
Source: RNAcentral